RNAcentral lists this ribosomal RNA (516 nucleotides) under Glomus sp. Glo26. RNAcentral's name for it is "SSU rRNA". It matches the Rfam family "Eukaryotic small subunit ribosomal RNA", at positions 569 to 1078 of the family's 1831-position model. Lineage: Eukaryota; Fungi; Glomeromycota; Glomeromycetes; Glomerales; Glomeraceae. The record is from RNAcentral.
AGCAGCCGCGGUAAUUCCAGCUCCAAUGAGCGUAUAUUAAAGUUGUUGCAGUUAAAAAGCUCGUAGUUGAAUUUCGGGAUUGACACAUCGGUCGUGCCUUAAGGGGUGUGAACUGGUGUAGUCAAUUUCUCACCUUCUGGAGAACCGCGAUGUCCUUAAUUGGGUGCCGCGAGGAACCAGGACCUUUACUUUGAAAAAAUUAGAGUGUUUAAAGCAGGCAUUUUUGCUUGAAUACAUUAGCAUGGAAUAAUAAAAUAGGACGGCAUGAUUCUAUUUUGUUGGUUUCUAGGAUCACCGUAAUGAUUAAUAGGGAUAGUUGGGGGCAUUAGUAUUCAAUUGUCACAGGUGAAAUUCUUGGAUUUAUUGAAGACUAACUACUGCGAAAGCAUUUGCCAGGGAUGUUUUCAUUAAUCAAGAACGAAAGUUAGGGGAUCGAAGACGAUCAGAUACCGUCGUAGUCUUAACCAUAAACUAUGCCGACUAGGAAUCAGACGAUGUUAAUUUUUUAAUGACUCG